Molecule: long non-coding RNA, 2448 nt
Organism: Astyanax mexicanus (Mexican tetra)
Lineage: Eukaryota; Metazoa; Chordata; Actinopteri; Characiformes; Acestrorhamphidae
Exons: 2
Source: RefSeq, a predicted model, not a curated record
UCUUACUGGUGCAAUGUACAAUUAAUGAAGAUUAGCCACCAGGCUGCUCCAAUUUAGCCAUGAAACCUCCCACACUAAAAUGACAGGUGUUUCAGUUUCAUUGUCAAAUAUUAGUCAGUAUGUUCACAUACAUUUAUCUGCUUCAGACAGUGCUUUUCUGUUGUCAGUACAUCUCUUCAGGAACUAGACACUCUGCAACCAAACAAACCUGAGUACAUUGAUUUUAGAAGGAAUGUCCACAAACAUUUGGACAUAUAGUGUAGCUAGUAGCUAAAAAAGCACCGUACUAACACUCAUAUCUCUGCCAAAAGGCCUAGCAGUGAACUGAUGCUGAUAAUCUACAUUUCAAGGAAGAAUGGGCCGAAAACAUGCCGUUAUAACGCAAGAGCAGGUACUAAUGGGUGCCCCAUGGGUGCAAUAAUAGCCCACUGAAUAACUCCCACCAUGUCUUUACCACACUCCGCUCCAGCUGUCUCUUUAGGAAGGACACUUUAUGGUUUAUUAGUGCUAUUAUGUUCCCUGUGUGAGGCUAUAUCAGAGAAAAAUUACUGCUAGGGUUAGAGCUAUGGACACAGAGAGGGUUAUAAUUACAUUAAAACGUGCGGGUUUACUGUAGGGUCAAGUAAAUUUACAGGGAAUUUAAUAUACACAGUUGCACCCAGAAGGAAGUGCCGGAUUGCAAUGCUUUUCGAAAGGAAAAUAAAUGUAAAAAUGUAGACUCUUAAAGGAAACAUUCUGGUCACAUUUGUUGAGCUACAAGUACAGAAGUAGUGUGUAACACCUCAUCUUGGCAUCUCAGAGUUGUAGAGGUUCUUAAUGGUGUCCUACGAUAAUUUAUUCCAUGUAGGGUCAAGUGAAUUUACAGGGAAUUUAAUAUACAUUCAUCGUAAAGUUGCGAUAACAGUUGCACCCAGAAGGAAGUGCUGGAUUGCAAUGCUGUUCAAAAGGAAAAAAAAAAUCAAAAGCAACAAUAAAUGAUAAAAAUAUAGACUCAUAAGGUCUUGUGGAAAAUUCUGGUCAAAUUUGUUGAGCUACAUAUACAGAAACAGUGUGGUAACACCUCUGUAUUACAACAUGUCAGUCAUCUUGGUAUCUCAGAGUUGUAGAGGUUCUUAAUGGUGUCCUACGAUACUCUAUCCUAUGCUGUAUGAAUAUUUUUACAGAGUUCUUGUAGAUUUUCAAUCAGGAACCACAGUGGGCCCUAUCUUACACCAUGCAUGAGGUGCGUUUAUUGCUAUAUUGGCAACAGAAAACAUAGGUGUUCCACAGACUGAUUAGAACCCUGACAACAGUCAACAGUCAGACGUUCAUUGCUAUCUUGGCAAUGCAGGUGCACUAUGUGCUCUCAGUGUGUGUACACCUCAGCUGCGCUGUUAAGAUAGCAAUCCACCACAGUCAGAGCUCACCUGGUUCUUUAAGGGAAUGGCAUGUAACACCUAAAACACAGCCAUGAUUAAUCAGUACAACUAAAGAAUUAGUACAAACUGUACUUUGCCAGUCGUUACGAUAGCAAAGACACAAUGACGCCCCAAAAUCAAGCUAUUUGAUUGAAGGGUAAGCUAUAGACUGUUUACUGGUUACAGGACCUUUUUAACGUAGCGGUACGCUUUCAAAGUGCCUGUACUUAAGGCCAAAGAUGAUUUGGCUUUGUAGGAAAUUGAACCCUACACCAUGACACUUGUCCUUCUGGACGUGUGACACAGAUUCAUUGGUAAACUUCCUUUUGAAUGGCUUUGCAAUCUGACAUUUUCUUGAUGGUAAGUGUAUUUAAAAGUAAAAAUAUGCUAACAUAAUAAAAUAUAUUGCUCCAAAAGUGGCUAUAAUAGAAACACCAAUGGACAAAGCCAUUGGUCAAGACCAAUUUUAAAGUGGACCAUAAACAUUUAAACAGCUCAAAUCCACCAAAAUGUCUCAAAGUGGGUAUUUAUUUUUUUUAUCUAGCAGAAAAACAAACAAUGAACUAAAUGCUUUCAGGGUCCAAAAGUCGAACGUUCAUGGCUGACCUGGUCACUCACCCAGAACCUCACUCAGCAUUAUUUCACCUACUGAAGGAAAAGCUUACGGAAGAUGCCUGUAAAAACAGACAGGAACUAAACCUGGCAGUAUUACAGGCUUGGCAGAUUUUCACCAGGGAAAUCCUCAGCAUCUGUUGGUGUCUGGACUCUCAGAUUUCAUACAGUCAUUGAUUUUAGUGUUAUACAUUCAAUUCAAUUCCAGUUAAAUCAUUGUAGACGCAACGUUCUGAAUUAAAGCUGACUUUAAACCCAUAAUCAUGUCACUUCAAUCCAAUAUCAGUGAGCACAGAGCCAAAACAAUGCCUGUCUGAUCACUUGUGGGCUGUACUAUGUGUUAAUGUAUUCUGUACAAUUUGUAUAUUAUAAAUAUGAUUUAUAUUUGAUUUGCCUUUUGAGUACUCCUGACAUAAAUAUUCUAACUAUGCUUAUCUAA